RNAcentral lists this ribosomal RNA (497 nucleotides) under uncultured bacterium. Its description in RNAcentral is "partial 16S ribosomal RNA". It matches the Rfam family "Bacterial small subunit ribosomal RNA", at positions 28 to 507 of the family's 1533-position model. The record is from RNAcentral.
GAUGAACGCUGGCGGCGUGCCUAAUACAUGCAAGUCGAGCGAACGGACGAGAAGCUUGCUUUUCUGAUGUUAGCGGCGGACGGGUGAGUAACACGUGGAUAACCUACCUAUAAGACUGGGAUAACUUCGGGAAACCGGAGCUAAUACCGGAUAAUAUUUUGAACCGCAUGGUUCAAAAGUGAAAGACGGUCUUGCUGUCACUUAUAGAUGGAUCCGCGCUGCAUUAGCUAGUUGGUAAGGUAACGGCUUACCAAGGCAACGAUGCAUAGCCGACCUGAGAGGGUGAUCGGCCACACUGGAACUGAGACACGGUCCAGACUCCUACGGGAGGCAGCAGUAGGGAAUCUUACGCAAUGGGCGAAAGCCUGACGGAGCAACGCAGCGUGAGUGAUGAAGGUCUUCGGAUCGUAAAACUCUGUUAUUAGGGAAGAACAUAUGUGUAAGUAACUGUGCAAAUCUUGACGGUACCUAAUCAGAAAGCCACGGCUAACUACGUG